GAAUGCCGCAGACUGCCAGAAACAGAGCCGCGGUCGCGGUAAUGAUCCGGCAUUGCUGUUGGUUGCCCAUGGAUACCAUCGAAGCGACGCGAUGCACGCAAGACAAAUGACUGCGAAGACAUUCGUUGGCAAGUCAGGUCCAUAUGAAGAAAGCCUCUGCUCAUCCCUAUCAAACAGCACAUACUCCGAGCUGUGCUCCGGGUCCUGGCACAUGUGGUUAACUAUGAAACACUGGUAGUUCCAGAGCAGAAGCAGCACCAUGCCACACAGGGCCAGCAUUACCAGGCUGCCCAGCAGGAGGCGCUGUUUGUCCAGGAAGCAUCCGUUUUGACAGCUCUCAUCAGCGAGACGUGUGAAUCUCCACAGAGAUCUCUUCAGCCCAGAUCCCGGCCGCUGAUGUGGAUACAGAGACACGACCGAAUCUUUUGUUUGCGCUGCGCUCAUUGUACGGGGAGCACUCGGAGAUCCUUACAAGAUGCCUGCUGUGAGAAAAACAAGUGGCAGGGCCGCAGAGAUUAGAUGAAUAUUGCGGUUCCUGUUGCACGGGUCAGGCUAGGCUUUUGUGAUUUAUUUAUUUUUUCUGUCGUAAAUAUGCAAACACAGUCUUUUCAUUCACGGAAUUCAUAGGGUAUAAAUGCGCUACAUUUUCAGUGGUGUGAAAGUUCAUUUAUUUUCUUAAUAGUGUUGUUCUUCCAAAGUAUGGUUUCAUAACCCUGGGAUAAAAAGUUACGCCAACCUCGCUGUUAAGCGUUUCAGGGUUUAGAACGGCGACGUUUUUUAAAGGGACAGUUCACCCAAAAAAGAAAACUGAGUCAUUAAUUACUCACCGUCUUGUUCCAAACCCGUAAGACAUUCGUUCAGCUUCGAAACACAAAUUAAGAUAUUUUUCAUGAAAUCUGAGAGCUCUCUGACCCUCCAUAGACAGCAGGGAUACUACAACGAUCAAGGCACAAAAACAAAGCAAGGACAGUAAAGUAAAAUGCAUCAGUAAAAUAGUCCAUGUGACUUUAGGGGUUCAACUUUAAGUGUACGAAGCAGCGAGCAUAAGUUUGGUGUGCACAGAAAAUAAUAACAUAAUUUAUUCAACAAUUCUUAUCAUCUUCCGCCAUUUAGAAGAGAAACGGAACGUAAUGAAAGUAAUCAGCACUGUUUACCCUCAGCAUGCGAAUGCUUUAUCCUGAAUGCAAACAAGGCUGAUUACAUUGAUUGUACUUACACUGUUCUCCAAAAUGGCAGAAGAUAUGGCGCACAAAAAGUGUUCUCGCAUCUUUGUAAACGUUCAGUUAGAUCCCUGAAGUCACAGACUAUUUUACUGAUGUCCUUGCUAGCUUGUGUCUCCAUCAAGGUAGUUUCCUUGCUAUCAGUGGAGGGUCAGAGAGCUCUCAGAUUUCACCCAGAACAUCUUAAUUUGUGAUUAAUCAAGGUCUUACGGGUUUGGAACAACUUCAGGAGUUUUCAUUUUUGAGUGAAAUAACCCUUUGACUGAAUCAGUUUGUUCAGACUCCCUGUACUAUUACUAUAAAUAUGAAUUGAUAAAUGUAAAUGUGUGUUUUUGUUGCAGUUAUUAAGUAGGAAUUUACCUGCUCAAGCUACCAUUCUAAUGUUUUUAUGCCUCUGAUUAAAUGAUACAUUUUAUGAUUGUGCACAUUAAUUUAUUAAAACAUUCCCCUUUGGUAUAUUUGAUGCAGUUAGUUACAUUUUGUUUAUAACUUGACUGUAGUUAAACUGCUUCAAAUUAUGAUUCACUUGUAGCUUGAUAGGCUUUAUAGCUUGAUAGCAUCUCCCAAACGUGGAAAUGCGUAAAAAUCUUAUUCUGACUAGGUGCUAAAUCCAAUCUUUAUAAGCCAACACGUUUUGAUCAUGUUUUUAACCAACAAAUGCCAUGAAAUAGACUCUAAAUGGAAGACUUAUAUUUAAAAUAAAUAAAUAAACUAGA
Molecule: long non-coding RNA, 1936 nt
Organism: Puntigrus tetrazona (Sumatra barb)
Lineage: Eukaryota; Metazoa; Chordata; Actinopteri; Cypriniformes; Cyprinidae
Exons: 2
Source: RefSeq, a predicted model, not a curated record